GACGAACGCUGGCGGCGUGCUUAACACAUGCAAGUCGAACGGAAAGGCCCUGCUUUUGUGGGGUGCUCGAGUGGCGAACGGGUGAGUAACACGUGAGUAACCUGCCCUUGACUUUGGGAUAACUUAAGGAAACUAGGGCUAAUACCGGAUAGGUGCUCCUGAUGCUCGGUGGGGGUUGGAAAGGUUCGGCGGGUGGGGAUGGACUCGCGGCUUAUCAGCUUGUUGGUGGGGUAGUGGCUUACCAAGGCUUUGACGGGUAGCCGGCCUGAGAGGGUGACCGGCCACAUUGGGACUGAGAUAGGGCCCAGACUCCUACGGGAGGCAGUAGUGGGGAAUAUUGCACAACGGGCGGAAGCCUGAUGCAGCAACGCCGCGUGCGGGAUGACGGCCUUCGGGUUGUAAACCGCUUUCGCCUGUGACGAAGCGUGAGUGACGGUAAUGGGUAAAGAAGCACCGGCUAACUACGUG
RNAcentral lists this ribosomal RNA (468 nucleotides) under uncultured bacterium. RNAcentral describes it as "partial 16S ribosomal RNA". It matches the Rfam family "Bacterial small subunit ribosomal RNA", at positions 28 to 507 of the family's 1533-position model. The record is from RNAcentral.